Long non-coding RNA from Arabidopsis thaliana (thale cress), 258 nucleotides. RefSeq annotates it as other RNA. Lineage: Eukaryota; Viridiplantae; Streptophyta; Magnoliopsida; Brassicales; Brassicaceae. The record is from RefSeq. The transcript has a single exon.
AACAACAGGUGGAGAUCCCGCACUCACCGAUCUCUUAACCGGCCGAUGAUCCUCCGAACCAUCGUAACCCCGAUGGUCGUAACCGCCGCAUUUCCUCUUGAGCGUCGAGUUCCAGUGAUUCUUCACGGCGUUGUCCGUACGACCGUUGAGAAGACGAGCAAUCGUCGCCCAUUUAUUACCGAACUGAGCGUGAGCACGUGCGAUCGUCUCGUCUUCCUCAGCCGAAAACGGCCGAUGCUCAACUUGCGGCGAAAGCUG